RNAcentral lists this ribosomal RNA (397 nucleotides) under Arthrobacter sp. AZTITEMP22. RNAcentral's name for it is "bacterial SSU rRNA". It matches the Rfam family "Bacterial small subunit ribosomal RNA", at positions 935 to 1333 of the family's 1533-position model. Lineage: Bacteria; Bacillati; Actinomycetota; Actinomycetes; Micrococcales; Micrococcaceae. The record is from RNAcentral.
GAGCAUGUGGUUUAAUUCGAUGCAACGCGAAGAACCUUACCAAGGCUUGACAUGAACUGGAAAUACCUGGAAACAGGUGCCCCGCUUGCGGUCGGUUUACAGGUGGUGCAUGGUUGUCGUCAGCUCGUGUCGUGAGAUGUUGGGUUAAGUCCCGCAACGAGCGCAACCCUCGUUCUAUGUUGCCAGCACGUUAUGGUGGGGACUCAUAGGAGACUGCCGGGGUCAACUCGGAGGAAGGUGAGGACGACGUCAAAUCAUCAUGCCCCUUAUGUCUUGGGCUUCACGCAUGCUACAAUGGCCGGUACAAUGGGUUGCGAUACUGUGAGGUGGAGCUAAUCCCAAAAAGCCGGUCUCAGUUCGGAUUGGGGUCUGCAACUCGACCCCNGAAGUCGGAGUC